ACUCUUUUAGUUUAUUUUAAAAUGUAACUCUGAAGAGGUUGAGAAAUUUUUGAGUAUUGAAAAAUGGUA
Molecule: transfer RNA, 69 nt
Filed under: Gnathostoma nipponicum
Lineage: Eukaryota; Metazoa; Nematoda; Chromadorea; Rhabditida; Gnathostomatidae
Description: tRNA-Phe
Source: RNAcentral